CAAGCAGCCUGACUGCUCUGCUUGGUCUCCUUCUGUAGCAGGCUGAGAGCCAGAUCAACAAGCAGGCCAAGGUGGGCGACAUAGCCCGUAAGACUGAUCGACCAGCCCUCCAUCUCCGCAUUCCCCCCCAGCCAGGGGCACUGGGCAGUCCGCCCCCUGCUGCGGCCCCCACCAUUUACAUUGGCAGCCCCACCACCCCUGCCGGCUUGUCUACCUCUGCGGACGGGUUCCUGAAGCCGCCAGCGGGCACAGUGCCCGGCCCCGACUCACCUGGUGAGCUCUUCCUCAAGCUCCCAUCCCAGGUGCCCGCCCAAGUGCCUUCGCAGGACCCCUUUGGACUGGCCCCUGCCUAUGCCCUGGAGCCCCGCUUCUCUGCGGCACCACCCACCUACCCUCCUUACCCAAGCCCAGCUGGGGCCCCUGCCCAGCCCCCAAUGCUGGGCACCACAUCUCGUCCUGUGACUGGUCAGCCAGGGGAACUCCACACUACCCCACCGGGUACCCCCAGACACCAGCCCUCCACGCCUGACCCCUUCCUCAAACCCCGAUGCCCCUCACUGGACAACCUGGCUGUGCCUGAGAGCCCGGGGGUAGCAGGAGGCAAGGCUUCCGAGCCUCUGCUCUCACCCUCACCUUUUGGGGAGUCUCGGAAAGCCCUAGAGGUGAAGAAGGAAGAACUUGGGGCAUCCUCUCCUGGAUAUGGACCCCCAAACCUGGGCUUUGUUGACUCACCCUCCUCAGGCCCCCAUCCGGGUAGCCUAGAGUUAAAGGCACCUGAUGUCUUCAAAGCUCCCCUAACCCCUCGGGCAUCUCAGGUAGAGCCCCAGAGCCCUGGCCUGGGCCUACGGGCCCAGGAUCCACCCCCUGCCCAGGCUUUGGCCCCUUCUCCUCCCAGCCACCCAGACGUCUUUCGUCCUGGCUCCUACCCUGAUCCUUAUGCCCAACCCCCAUUGACCCCUCGGCCUCAACCACCACCCCCUGAGAGCUGCUGUGCCCUGCCCCCUCGCUCACUGUCCUCUGACCCUUUCUCUCGAGUACCCGCUAGUCCUCAGUCUCAGUCCAGUUCCCAGUCCCCGUUGACCCCUCGUCCUCUGUCUGCUGAGGCUUUCUGCCCGUCCCCGGUUACCCCUCGCUUCCAGUCCCCUGACCCUUAUUCUCGUCCACCCUCACGUCCUCAGUCCCGUGACCCAUUUGCCCCAUUGCAUAAGCCACCCCGACCCCAGCCCCCUGAAGUUGCCUUUAAGGCUGGGCCUCUAGCCCACACUCCGCUGGGAGCUGGGGGCUUCCCAGCAGCCCUGCCCUCUGGGCCAGCAGGUGAGCUCCAUGCUAAGGUCCCAGGUGGGCAGACCCCUAAUUUUGCCCGGUCCCCAGGGACAGGUGCAUUUGUAGGCACCCCCUCUCCCAUGCGGUUCACUUUCCCACAGGGGGUAGGAGAGCCUUCCCUAAAGCCCCCUGUCCCACAGCCUGGUCUCCCUCCACCCCAUGGGAUCAACAGCCAUUUUGGGCCUGGCCCCAUCUUGGGCAAGCCUCAAAGCACAAACUACGUAGCCACGGGGAACUUUCACCCAUCGGGCAGCCCCCUGGGGCCCAGCAGUGGGCCUACAGGGGAGGGCUAUGGGCUGUCCCCACUACGCCCCGCAUCAGUUCUGCCACCACCCACACCCGAUGGAUCCCUCUCCUACCUGUCCCAUGGAGCCUCACAGCGGGCAGGUAUCACCUCUCCAGUGGAAAAGCGAGAAGAUCCAGGGGCUACCAUGAGUAGCUCUUUGGCAACACCUGAACUCUCAGGUACCCAGGAUCCAGGCAUGUCAAACCUUAGCCAGACAGAGCUGGAGAAGCAGCGGCAGCGCCAACGGCUGCGGGAGCUGCUGAUUAGGCAGCAGAUCCAGCGUAACACCUUACGGCAGGAGAAGGAAACAGCUGCAGCAGCUGCAGGUGCAGUCGGGCCUCCAGGCAACUGGAGUGCUGAACCCAGCAACCCUGCCUUUGAGCAGCUGAAUCGAGGCCAGACCCCUUUCACUGGUACCCAGGAUAAGAACAGUCUUGUGGGAUUAUCCUCAAGCAAGCUAGGUGGUCCAAUUCUGGGGCCAGGGGCCUUCUCCAGCGAUGACCGACUUUCCCGGCCGCUUCCACCAGCCACACCUUCCUCUAUGGACAUGAAUAGCCGGUGAGGUUCCAGGAAGUUGCGUGCUUGCAUGCAUGUGUGUGAAUGGGAUAAGUUUUACCAUCACUGUAUUCUGCCUUUGAUUUCCCCCUGUCACUAUGCGUGUGUGUGUGUGUGUGUGUGCGAGAGAGAGAGAGAGAGAGAGUGGGACAAGUUUUACCAUCACUGUAUUCUGCCUUUGAUUUCCCCCUGUCACUAUGCGUGUGUGUGUGUGUGUGUGUGCGAGAGAGAGAGAGAGAGAGAGUGGGACAAGUU
Long non-coding RNA from Nannospalax galili (Upper Galilee mountains blind mole rat), 2419 nucleotides. The record is from Ensembl. Lineage: Eukaryota; Metazoa; Chordata; Mammalia; Rodentia; Spalacidae.